CCUACUCUUGACAUCCAGAGAAUUUGCUAGAGAUAGCUUAGUGCCUUCGGGAACUCUGAGACAGGUGCUGCAUGGCUGUCGUCAGCUCGUGUUGUGAAAUGUUGGGUUAAGUCCCGCAACGAGCGCAACCCUUAUCCUUUGUUGCCAGCGCGUAAUGGCGGGAACUCAAAGGAGACUGCCGGUGAUAAACCGGAGGAAGGUGGGGAUGACGUCAAGUCAUCAUGGCCCUUACGAGUAGGGCUACACACGUGCUACAAUGGCAUAUACAAAGAGAAGCGAACUCGCGAGAGCAAGCGGACCUCAUAAAGUAUGUCGUAGUCCGGAUUGGAGUCUGCAACUCGACUCCAUGAAGUCGGAAUCGCUAGUAAUCGUAGAUCAGAAUGCUACGGUGAAUACGUUCCCGGGUCUUGUACACAC
This 417-nucleotide ribosomal RNA is filed under the name uncultured Rahnella sp. Its description in RNAcentral is "bacterial SSU rRNA". It matches the Rfam family "Bacterial small subunit ribosomal RNA", at positions 974 to 1390 of the family's 1533-position model. Lineage: Bacteria; Pseudomonadati; Pseudomonadota; Gammaproteobacteria; Enterobacterales; Yersiniaceae. The record is from RNAcentral.